GUGCCAGCAGCCGCGGUAAUACAGAGGUCCCAAGCGUUGUUCGGAUUCACUGGGCGUAAAGGGUGCGUAGGUGGUGGGGUAAGUUUGAUGUGAAAGCUCCGAGCUCAACUCGGAAAUGGCAUUGAAUACUAUCCCGCUGGAGGAUUGGAGGGGGGACUGGAAUUCUCGGUGUAGCAGUGAAAUGCGUAGAUAUCGAGAGGAACACCGGUGGCGAAGGCGAGUCCCUGGACAAUACCUGACACUGAGGCACGAAAGCUAGGGGAGCAAACAGGAUUAGAUACCCUGGUAGUCC
This 292-nucleotide ribosomal RNA is filed under the name uncultured bacterium. RNAcentral's name for it is "partial 16S ribosomal RNA". It matches the Rfam family "Bacterial small subunit ribosomal RNA", at positions 505 to 796 of the family's 1533-position model. The record is from RNAcentral.